UGCGGAAGAAUACCGAGUAGU
RNAcentral lists this non-coding RNA (21 nucleotides) under Caenorhabditis elegans. Lineage: Eukaryota; Metazoa; Nematoda; Chromadorea; Rhabditida; Rhabditidae. The record is from RNAcentral.